Molecule: ribosomal RNA, 472 nt
Filed under: uncultured Sphingomonadaceae bacterium
Lineage: Bacteria; Pseudomonadati; Pseudomonadota; Alphaproteobacteria; Sphingomonadales; Sphingomonadaceae
Description: bacterial SSU rRNA
Rfam family: Bacterial small subunit ribosomal RNA
Source: RNAcentral
AGAGUUUGAUCCUGGCUCAGAACGAACGCUGGCGGCAUGCCUAACACAUGCAAGUCGAACGAAGCCUUCGGGCUUAGUGGCGCACGGGUGCGUAACGCGUGGGAAUCUGCCCCUGGGUUCGGAAUAACAGUUAGAAAUGACUGCUAAUACCGGAUAAUGACGUAAGUCCAAAGAUUUAUCGCCCAGGGAUGAGCCCGCGUAGGAUUAGCUAGUUGGUGGGGUAAAGGCUCACCAAGGCGACGAUCCUUAGCUGGUCUGAGAGGAUGAUCAGCCACACUGGGACUGAGACACGGCCCAGACUCCUACGGGAGGCAGCAGUGGGGAAUAUUGGACAAUGGGCGAAAGCCUGAUCCAGCAAUGCCGCGUGAGUGAAGAAGGCCUUCGGGUUGUAAAGCUCUUUUACCCGGGAAGAUAAUGACUGUACCGGGAGAAUAAGCCCCGGCUAACUCCGUGCCAGCCGCCGCGGUAAUAC